This is a long non-coding RNA of Xiphophorus maculatus (southern platyfish), 459 nucleotides long. RefSeq lists it as uncharacterized. NCBI's taxonomy places the organism in Eukaryota, Metazoa, Chordata, Actinopteri, Cyprinodontiformes, Poeciliidae. The transcript is spliced from 3 exons. The record is from RefSeq and is a predicted model, not a curated record.
CUCUGAACCAUUCUUUAAUCUCGUACCAACUUCAGACAGCAGGUCAGCAUCUGUAGGGGCCGAGGAUUUAUCCUUCCAGUCGUGUCAUGUUGCAUUGGAAAGGAGGGGCCCAGUGUGAUGGAGCUACAGGUCACUGUUGGGCUACAGAUGAAGUCAGUGGCUUUCAUCAGACGUAAAGGCGGGGGUGUCUGUAAAUUAUGAAUGAAGUACCACUUUGUGGACGAAGGGGAUGAUGCAGAUUAUUCAUCCCUACUUCCUUCAGUGCAACUUCUCUGGCGGACGGGUUCUACUCCAGAGAGACGAGGGGGGACAGCGUUACUCAAUGGAGCAACACAAAUAGAUUAAAGGUGGCAGUAAAUUACUACUAUCUUUUUGUAUUUUAAAUCUCUUUUUUCAGUUUUGAACUGGUGAGGGUUUAUACUUGCUAUGUAGCUUUUGCAGCUGUCAGGUGUAUAAUUU